RNAcentral lists this ribosomal RNA (497 nucleotides) under uncultured bacterium. RNAcentral describes it as "partial 16S ribosomal RNA". It matches the Rfam family "Bacterial small subunit ribosomal RNA", at positions 28 to 507 of the family's 1533-position model. The record is from RNAcentral.
GAUGAACGCUGGCGGCGUGCCUAAUACAUGCAAGUCGAGCGGACGGACGAGAAGUUUGCUUCUCUGAUGUUAGCGGCGGACGGGUGAGUAACACGUGGAUAACCUACCUAUAAGACUGGGAUAACUUCGGGAAACCGUAGCUAAUACCGGAUAAGAUUUUGAACCGCAUGGUUCAAAAGUGAAAGACGGUCUUGCUGUCACUUAUAGAUGGAUCCGCGCUGCGUUAGUUAGUUGGUAAGGUAACGGCUUUCCAAGGCAGCGAUGCAUAGCCGACCGGAGAGGGUGGUAGCCGACCUGAGAACGUGACCACCGUCCAGGCUCCUGAGGGAGGGAGCAGUCGGGAAUCUUCGGCAAUAGGGGGAAACCUGACACAACACCGGCGAGUGAGUUGUAGAAGUCCUCCGAGCGGAAAACCCUGUUAUGAGGGGAGAACAGCUGUGUAAUUAACUGUGCACUGCUUGACGGUACCUAAUAAAAAAGCCACGGCUAACUACGUG